RNAcentral lists this long non-coding RNA (4984 nucleotides) under Sus scrofa (pig). RNAcentral's name for it is "lncRNA (ENSSSCG00000061669.1)". Lineage: Eukaryota; Metazoa; Chordata; Mammalia; Artiodactyla; Suidae. The record is from RNAcentral.
UUCAUGUACUUGCCAACAUUCUGAGUUUGUAAAACUACCUUCAUUUCUUUGUCACUGCAUGCUUACAUUAAUAAUAAUAAGAUAUUGACAUGUUCCAUAAAACAAAACAAAAACCUCUACUGUCUAUUUCUAUGAAUUCAACUUUUUUAGAUUCCACAUAUAAGAGAGGUCACGUGGUAUUCUUCUUUCUCCACUGCACUUUUAGGUUCAAUUCUUCCAGAAAAGUUCUCAUGACUAGACAGGGUAGGAGGAAUAACAAGUUUUAUGGACAAGGACCCUGAGGCCAGAAUGGGUGAGGCAUGGAGUAACACCACCGGCUCAGGCCUGCCCUUCACACCCACAAAGCUGACCAGAAGUGUACAGCUAUGGAGGAAUACACUGAAUUUCAUCAGAUUCUAUCUAAUGCCCUCUUUCUACUUUGAACUGGAAAAUAUCCCUGGGAACACAAAUUAAUUCUGCCUGAAGUAACUACCUGGGUGUGAUUGCUUACUCACUGCCCCCUUCUGGAGAAAAAAAGUGCCCACCCCAUCCACCAGUUCUUAGUCUUUCCAUGCAAUUGAUUUGUGCUAAUCCUGCAAUGAAUUUGCAGAUUGGCAGCCUCGUCCUCCAUGGUCCAGGAUUCCACCUUCAACUCUGUCACCAUCUGGCCAAAUUGUGUGGAAGUGGGGGGCUGGGGAGGGGCAGCAGCAGGCAGUGGGCCCUUUGCAUAAACGAUCGUGCUGGGCCUUAACUUGCAGAGGGCUGGGGCAUCCCUGCCAUGUGUGCAAGCACACAGGUCAGUGGGGCAGGUCAAAGGAGAGGGUGCAAGAACCCGAGAACAAAGACCUGUCCCUCACGGCUGGCCAUUGUCUCCAGUAGAAGCCAUCCAUCACACAGCUUCCCUCAGCAGCUGGAUGGGCCAGCUGGCUCCUCUGGGAUCUUUUCUUUCUCUUGCCCGCCCCCAGAAGCACUUGAUGGCUGUCUUUUCAAAGCUAUUUCCUCUUAAGACCCUGAUGCACAACAUUUUGAAUGCUGAGAGGCCAGCCCUUAUGCACGACAUCUUGGACGAUUUUGAAGUUUUUUUUCCUUGUGGUGCAUGGGGGAAUACAAACCAAGAAUCAUCUUGGAUGAUCACUCAGAACCUGUUCACAACAAAAUGAGGAGGCCUUGAAGUCAGGUUUUUAUCACGAAGACCUGCGAUGCUUGGGAAUUUUCCCCUUGUCAUGAUUAAGUAGGAAGAGAAAACAGCAGGCAUCAGGCUGCCUGUUUGCCUGUUGCUUGCAUGAUUUGCGUGGUCCUGUCUUUUUUUUUUUUUUUUUUCGCAUUGCUGAUGUGAUAAUAUAAGCACUGGACUCCCAGUGAAUCUGAAGGCAAAUUAUUUCAAGAACACAUCACCUGGCCCUUGUUAAAAUGUUAUUGGGGAACUUUUCCCAGAGCCCUGAGCAAAAUCUGGUUAUGAUUCAGUCAUGAGGGAAACUCACUGCAUGUGCGUUGCAAGGUAACCGAUUAGAUUUAGUGAUUCAAAUGGGCAGUUAACUUAGAUUUAAUGGGACUGUAAUUGUACAGCGAAUUUUAAAUAUACUUUUGAUUAUUGCAUCAGGGCUAUAUUGAAAUACAUACUUGUCAUUUUGUAUUGACAUUUUAAAAACAAUUACAUAAAAUCUAAUGAGAAGGAACCCAGUAAGAAAACCCAAUUACCUUUCAAGGAUGCCAGGUUUUCCAUUUCCGCUCUGUAGUUUUCACUGACCUUGGCAUUUUUUUUUCCCCCGAUUGUGAUAGAAAGAUAAUGAAUUUGGUUGGUAUAAUUAGUUUUUAUUCUCAUCAUAGUGUUUUUCUAAUAAACACCCCAAAUUAUCCAGUCGACAACAUUCUUCUUCAGGUUAUUUCCUACACGCUAGCUUUGUUUUUCCCUCAUUCCCUCCAGGCUGGUGAAAACAUGAAACAAAUAACCACGGUUCCCUGGAGUAAAUGUGUUCUUUAGUUUAAUUCAACAAACAAUUUGACUGCCUACAACAUGCCAGGCUAUAGCUUAGGUGUUAAGAUAUAAAAAUAAAUUCAAACAUUUUCUUUGUUGUCAAGAAAUGCUUCUUUUUGUCCUUCUCCUUCUCUUCCUCUUUCAUCAUCAUUGUAGUUACUACCCACCUCAGCAUGUAUUGAAAAUUUACUCUAUAAGAGCCACUCUGUUCAUUUUUUUACCUCAUGUCUCAUCUCAAUUAUAUCUCCUAACAAUCCUGUGAUUGGGUGCCAUUAUUCCCUCCAGCAGAUGAAGAAAUUAAGACUUCAGAGAAGUUGAAUAACUCACAUUACUCUGUUUUUCUCAACAUUUGGGACGACUUUCCAGGACCUAUUGAAUAGGAUGAAACUCUUAGGGUGCUUUGCCAUGGAGCCUCAGUUACCUUUCCAAGCUUCAGCUCCACUUCUCUGCACAGUGAGUUAACCUAGUAUGUGGAGCUACUCAACAUUCUCUUCCACCCAGCCUCCAGGCCCUUGUGCACGUGACUCCUUUGUCAGCGAUGCCAGCAAUGCCUUUUCCUUCCCUUCUCCACCUGUCAAAACUCCUCCCACUCUUCAAAGUGGCUCCAAAGCCCCAUCUACCUGAAGUGCCCUCUGACCCUCUAAGAAUCAAAUAUCCCUUUCCAUGGUUGUACUCCUCUUGCUGUUUGUAGCACAUUCUGUCUUGUUCACUGUUAUCUUUUCACCCCCAAUAUCCUCAAGGACUCUGCGCAUUCCUCAAAUGGACUUUUCCCAUCUUAUUAUCUCCAUGAAACUUAAUGCAAUGUUUUAUGAGCUCUAAGAAAAUACCUGUAGAAUUGAAUAGUUAUUUAGCUGCAGGAUAUUCCUGAUGCAAUUUAAGAUGCUAUAUGUUAGGGGAAAAUGUGUUCUGUAAUUCCAAGCUAUAGUUUCUGAGAUUCUCCAUUCAAGGGUUCUUUAUCAGACAAGUGUCACUUAAGGAGGUGUCAGAAUGUUUUCAAGAAAUAAAUAAUUACUGAAAUUCCAAAGAAUCAUAGGAAAGAGUAAAGCUCAUGUUUUAUUGAAUCCUGAGGCUACUUAUGGAAAGAAAACUUUUUUUUCUAAUUUGUUUAAACUAAAAGCGAAACAAAAUAGUUUACUCAUUUAUCUUAUCUAUACUUGCUCUGGCAACCACCAAUCUGCUCCCUGUAUCUAUGAGCUAUGAGAUGAGUUGAUUUUUUUAUCCCAUAUGUAAAAGAGAUUAUAUAGUAUUUGUAUUUUUAUGUCUGACUUAUUUCACUUAGCAUAAUGUCUUCAAGGUCCAUCCUUGUCACUCACAAAUGGCAAGAUUUCUUUAUGUCUGAAUAAUAUUCCAAUGAAUAUAUAUACAGCACAUAUAUACCACAUCUUCUUUAUCCAGCCGUUUAUUGAUGGACACUUAGAUUGCUUCCAUAGCUUGGUUAUUGUAAAUAAUGCUGCAAUGAAUACAGGGGUGCAUAUAUAUCUUCAAAUGAGUAUUUUUGUUUUCUUUGGAUAAAUACCUAGAUGCGAAAUUGCUAGAUUGUAGGUUAUUUCUAUUUUUAAUUUUUGAGGAAACUCCAUACUGUUUUCCUCACUGGCUGCAUCAAUGUACAUUCUUACCAACAGUGUAAGAGGGCUCCCUUUCCUCACUAACAUUUACUGUUUCUUAUCUUUCUGAUAAUAGCGAUUCUGACAGGUGUUAGGUGAUAUCUCAUUAUGGUUUUAAUUUGCAUUUCCCUGAUGAUUAAUGAUGUAGAACAUCUUGUCAUUUACCUUUUGGCAAUAUGUACGUCUUCUUUAGAAAAACAUCUAUUCACACCUAACCAUUUUUAAUCAGAUUGUUUGUUUUGCUAUAGAGUUGUAUGAGUUCUUUAUUAUUCUUAUCAGAUAAAUGAUGUACAAAUAUUUUAUCCCAUUCAGUAAGUUCUCUUUCAUUUUGUUGAUGAUUUUCUUUGUUGUGUAGAAUACUUUAAUUUUCUGUUUAUUUGUAUUUCAUUUUGUUGCUUUUGCUUUUGGUGUCAGGCUCAAAGACUCAUCAUCAUGACUUAUGUCAAGGAGCUUAAUACCUGUGUUUUCUCCAGGGAGUUUUAUGGUUUCAGGUCUUAUGUUCAAGUCUUUAAUCCACAUUGAGUGAAUUUUUGUGUAUGCUGUAAGAUAGAGGUUCAGUUUCACUCUUUCACAUAUGACUGUCCAAUUUUCGCAACAUCAAUUAUUACUGAUGCUGUCCUUUACUCAUUGAAUAUUCUUAGCUCUUAUGCCAUAAGUUAGUUGACUAUAUAUACGUCUGUGUGAGAGUGCAUUUAAUUCUGGGCUCUUCAUUAUGUUCUACUGAUCUAUGCAUUUUUUUUAUAUGACAAUACCAUUCUGUUUUAAUUAGUAUAGAUUUGUAACAUAGGUUGAAAUCAGGUAGAGUAAUACCUCCAGCUUUACUAUUCUUUCUUAAGAUUGCUUUAGAUAUUUAGGGUCUUUUAUGGUUCUGUACAAAUUUUAGGCUUAUUUUUUUCUAUUUCUGUGAAAAAUGCAAUUGAAAUUUUGAUAGGGAUUGUGCUGAACCUGUGGAUUGCUCUGGGUAGUAUGGGCAUUUUGACAAUAUUAAUUCUUCCAAUCCAUGAGAACAGACUAUCUUUCAUUUUAUUUGUCUUCUUCAAUUUCUUUCAUUAAUAUAUAAUAGUUUUCAAUACACAGGUGUUUCACCUAAAAAUAAAUAUAUUCAUAGGAGUUUUAUUCUUUUUGAUGUAAUUUAAAUGGUAUUAUUUUAAAAAUUUCUCUUUCUCGUAAUUCAUUAAAAGUGGAUGGAAUUCCUGUCAUGGUGCAGUGGUUAACGAAUCCGAAUAGGAAGCAUGAGGUUGCGGGUUUGAUCCCUGGCCUUGCUCAGUGGGUUAAGGAUCCGGCGUUGCUGUGAGAUGUGGUGUAGGUUGCAGAUGUGGCUUGGAUCCCGUGUUGCUGUGGCUCUGGCGUAGGCCAGUGGCUACAGCUCCGUUUCAACCUCUAGCCUGGAAACCUCCAUAUGCCAUGGGAAGCAGCCCUAGAAAAG